This is a small nucleolar RNA of 187 nucleotides. Its record names the gene U3. It matches the Rfam family "Small nucleolar RNA U3". From Rfam's summary of the family: Small nucleolar RNAs (snoRNAs) are involved in the processing and modification of rRNA in the nucleolus. There are two main classes of snoRNAs: the box C/D class, and the box H/ACA class. U3 snoRNA is a member of the box C/D class. The record is from Ensembl.
AAAAUAAUGCCAUUUGCAGCAGCAUUUGAGAAAAGUCUCUGAAUGUGUGGAGCACCAGAAAGCCUGAGGAAAAGGUUUAGUAUUAUCUACAGAGUAUGAAGCUGGUUUUUGGACCUGGUUCUAUCUGCCAUUGAUGAUCAUUCUUCUCUUCCUUUGGGAGAGCGAAAGGGAGAGGAUGCUAUUGGAG